RNAcentral lists this ribosomal RNA (507 nucleotides) under uncultured bacterium. Its description in RNAcentral is "partial 16S ribosomal RNA". It matches the Rfam family "Bacterial small subunit ribosomal RNA", at positions 28 to 507 of the family's 1533-position model. The record is from RNAcentral.
GACGAACGCUGGCGGCGUGCCUAAUACAUGCAAGUCGAACGCAUUUUCUUUCACCGUAGCUUGCUACACCGAAAGAAAAUGAGUGGCGAACGGGUGAGUAACACGUGGGUAACCUGCCCAUCAGCUGGGGAUAACACUUGGAAACAGGUGCUAAUACCGCAUAAUUCCAUUUACCGCAUGGUAGAUGGGUGAAAGGCGCUUUUGCGUCACUGAUGGAUGGACCCGCGGUGCAUUAGCUAGUUGGUGGGGUAACGGCCUACCAAGGCUGCGAUGCAUAGCCGACCUGAGAGGGUGAUCGGCCACACUGGGACUGAGACACGGCCCAGACUCCUACGGGAGGCAGCAGUAGGGAAUCUUCGGCAAUGGACGCAAGUCUGACCGAGCAACGCCGCGUGAGUGAAGAAGGUUUUCGGAUCGUAAAACUCUGUUGUUAGAGAAGAACAAGGAUGAGAGUGGAAAGUUCAUCCCUUGACGGUAUCUAACCAGAAAGCCACGGCUAACUACGUG